GGCGGAUCCUAUAUGGGGUGAAGGAUGUCUUAAUGGAGGUCCAUGGGGUCGGAUUUGGGGUCAGAUUUGGGGUGGACGUCGCAACGGAGGUCCAUGGGGUCAGAUUUGGGGUCAUAUUUGGGGCGGACGUCCCAAUGGAGGCCCACCGUCAUGGCGGAUCCUAUAUGGGAGGUAGUAGAUCCUAUAUGGGGUGAAGGACGUCCCAAUGGAGGUCCACCAUCAUGGCGGAUCCUAUAUGGGGUGAUGGACGUCCCAAUGGAGGUCUAUCAUCAUGGCAGAUCCUAUAUGGGGUGAAGGACGUCUUAAUGGGGUGGUAGAUCCUAUAUGGGGUGAAGGACGUCACAAUGGAGGUCUACCAUCAUGGCGGAUCCUAUAUGGGGUGAAGGACGUCCCAAUGGAGGCCCACCAUCAUGGCGGAUCCUAUAUGGGGUGGUAGAUCCUAUAUGGGGUGAAGGACGUUGUAAUGGAGGUCCACCAUCAUGGCGGAUCCUAUUUGGGGUGAUGGACAUCCCAAUGGAGGUCCAUGGGGUUGGAUUUGGGGUCGGGUUUGGGGUGGACGUCCCAAUGGAGGCCCACCGUCAUGGCGGAUCCUAUAUGGGGUGAAGGACGUCCCAAUGGAGGUCCACCAUCAUGGCGGAUCCUAUUUGGGGUGAUGGACGUCCCAAUGGAGGUCCACCAUCAUGGCGGAUCCUAUAUGGGGUGGUAGAUCCUAUAUAGGGUGAAGGACGUCGCAAUGGAGGUCCACCGUCAUGGCGGAUCCUAUGUGGGGUGAAGGACGUCGCAAUGGAGGUCCACCGUCAUGGCGGAUCCUAUAUGGGGUGAAGGACGUCUUAAUGGAGGUCCACCAUCAUGGCGGAUCCAUUUUGGGGG
Molecule: non-coding RNA, 870 nt
Organism: Coturnix japonica (Japanese quail)
Lineage: Eukaryota; Metazoa; Chordata; Aves; Galliformes; Phasianidae
Source: RefSeq, a predicted model, not a curated record